Molecule: transfer RNA, 69 nt
Filed under: Tanytarsus formosanus
Lineage: Eukaryota; Metazoa; Arthropoda; Insecta; Diptera; Chironomidae
Description: tRNA-Cys
Source: RNAcentral
AAUCUUAUAUUCAAUAAUAUGAUAUUAGACUGCAAUUCUAAAGGAAUAAAAUUUAAUUUAUUAAGAUUU